AAAAAAGGUAAGCUACUAAGAGCGAAUGGUGGAUGCCUUGACUGGUAAAGGCGAUGAAGGACGUACUAGACUGCGAUAAGCUACGGGGAGCUGUCAAGAAGCUUUGAUCCGUAGAUUUCCGAAUGGGGCAACCCAAUGUAUAGAGAUAUACAUUACCUAUAUAGGAGCGAACGAGGGGAAUUGAAACAUCUUAGUACCCUCAGGAAAAGAAAUCAAUAGAGAUUGCGUCAGUAGCGGCGAGCGAAAGCGCAAGAGGGCAAACCCAGUGCUUGCACUGGGGGUUGUAGGACUGCAAUGUGCAAGAGCUGAGUUUAGCAGAACAUUCUGGAAAGUAUAGCCAUAGAGGGUGAUAGUCCCGUAUGCGAAAAACAAAGCUUAGCUAGCAGUAUCCUGAGUAGGGCGGGACACGAGGAAUCCUGUCUGAAUCCGGGUCGACCACGAUCCAACCCUAAAUACUAAUACCAGAUCGAUAGUGCACAAGUACCGUGAGGGAAAGGUGAAAAGAACUGAGGUGAUCAGAGUGAAAUAGAACCUGAAACCAUUUGCUUACAAUCAUUCAGAGCACUAUGUAGCAAUACAGUGUGAUGGACUGCCUUUUGCAUAAUGAGCCUGCGAGUUGUGGUGUCUGGCAAGGUUAAGCAAACGCGAAGCCGUAGCGAAAGCGAGUCUGAAUAGGGCGCUUAGUCAGAUGCUGCAGACCCGAAACGAAGUGAUCUAUCCAUGAGCAAGUUGAAGCUAGUGUAAGAACUAGUGGAGGACUGAACCCAUAGGCGUUGAAAAGCCCCGGGAUGACUUGUGGAUAGGGGUGAAAGGCCAAUCAAACUUCGUGAUAGCUGGUUCUCUCCGAAAUAUAUUUAGGUAUAGCGUUGUGUCGUAAUAUAAGGGGGUAGAGCACUGAAUGGGCUAGGGCAUACACCAAUGUACCAAACCCUAUCAAACUCCGAAUACCUUAUAUGUAAUCACAGCAGUCAGGCGGCGAGUGAUAAAAUCCGUCGUCAAGAGGGAAACAACCCAGACUACCAGCUAAGGUCCCUAAAUCUUACUUAAGUGGAAAACGAUGUGAAGUUACUUAAACAACCAGGAGGUUGGCUUAGAAGCAGCCAUCCUUUAAAGAAAGCGUAAUAGCUCACUGGUCUAGUGAUUUUGCGCGGAAAAUA
RNAcentral lists this ribosomal RNA (1157 nucleotides) under Campylobacter jejuni. Its description in RNAcentral is "partial 23S ribosomal RNA". It matches the Rfam family "Bacterial large subunit ribosomal RNA", at positions 1 to 1172 of the family's 2925-position model. Lineage: Bacteria; Pseudomonadati; Campylobacterota; Epsilonproteobacteria; Campylobacterales; Campylobacteraceae. The record is from RNAcentral.